This 156-nucleotide microRNA precursor is filed under the name Oryza sativa (Asian cultivated rice). RNAcentral's name for it is "miR156l stem-loop (osa-MIR156l)". Its record names the gene osa-MIR156l. The record is from miRBase by way of RNAcentral. Lineage: Eukaryota; Viridiplantae; Streptophyta; Magnoliopsida; Poales; Poaceae. RNAcentral also lists the same sequence under 1 other name.
GCUAGGGAGCCGACAGAAGAGAGUGAGCAUAUAUAGUUCUUUCCUUGCAUAUGUGGUCAUAUGUGUGUUGACUGAAGAGAUACAUAUAUAUAGAGAGAGAGAGUUCAUGUGCUUGAAGCUAUAUGUGCUCACUUCUCUUUCUGUCAGCAAAUUAUC